UGGGGAAUUUUGGACAAUGGGCGAAAGCCUGAUCCAGCAAUGCCGCGUGUGUGAAGAAGGCCUUCGGGUUGUAAAGCACUUUUGUCCGGAAAGAAAUCCUUGGCUCUAAUACAGUCGGGGGAUGACGGUACCGGAAGAAUAAGCACCGGCUAACUACGUGCCAGCAGCCGCGGUAAUACGUAGGGUGCAAGCGUUAAUCGGAAUUACUGGGCGUAAAGCGUGCGCAGGCGGUUUGCUAAGACCGAUGUGAAAUCCCCGGGCUCAACCUGGGAACUGCAUUGGUGACUGGCAGGCUAGAGUAUGGCAGAGGGGGGUAGAAUUCCACGUGUAGCAGUGAAAUGCGUAGAGAUGUGGAGGAAUACCGAUGGCGAAGGCAGCCCCCUGGGCCAAUACUGACGCUCAUGCACAAAAGCGUGGGGAGCAAACAGGAUUAGAUACCCUGGUAGUCCACGCCCUAAACGAUGUCAACUAGUUGUUGGGGAUUCAUUUCCUUAGUAACGUAGCUAACGCGUGAAGUUGACCGCCUGGGGAGUACGGUCGCAAGAUUAAAACUCAAAUGAAUUGACGGGGUCAUAGCUGUUUCCU
This 585-nucleotide ribosomal RNA is filed under the name uncultured bacterium. RNAcentral describes it as "partial 16S ribosomal RNA". It matches the Rfam family "Bacterial small subunit ribosomal RNA", at positions 355 to 1375 of the family's 1533-position model. The record is from RNAcentral.